RNAcentral lists this unclassified non-coding RNA (370 nucleotides) under Hevea brasiliensis (rubber tree). The record is from RNAcentral. Lineage: Eukaryota; Viridiplantae; Streptophyta; Magnoliopsida; Malpighiales; Euphorbiaceae.
CGGGUCGAGAACCUGCUGGUAUCCAUAAGCUGAAAAAACAAACCCAACUCUAUUGGGAACCUAUGAUCCUCGUCAUGUGGAGGAACUCGAUGAGUUUAACACCAAAGCUGUUAUCAAACUUGAAUUAUUAUCAUUAUGGAUCGAGGUCUUCAUCGAUUUUCAAUGCAAAUGGCUUCGUCUUUGUGCCGCAAUUCCUCUCGCGUUGCUCAUCUUCAUCCGCCGCCAUCCCUCCACCUUCAGGCUCACUCAGAUCUAGGUUUCUGAAACGCAAAUCUGAUGAAAUUCAAACUUUCUCCCCAACUUCCUCGGUAGCCGCUGUCGACCUCUCACCCUUGACUUCCGCGGUGCAAUUGGCUCGCCACUACAGCCG